UAUGUAUAUAUAUGGACAAGUACAAACAUUCAUAAACAUGAAUAUAUAAAUUAAUUACGUAUCUCAAAACAAACCCAGCAUACAAAUAUUGCGAUAACAAACAUUAGUAUAUAUGCACGUAUGCAUGUAUGUAUGUACAUAUGUGCAUAUAUAUAUACAAGCUAAAUUGUACGUACGCGAAUUCUAUUUUGAACAUUUUGCGAUUCUUUACGUACGUGUGUACGUACAUUUGUACCAAAUACAUACAUAUACAUAUACAUAUACAUGUAUAUGCAAGCGCCUUUGUAUAUAAAUAUAUCAAUAUAUAAAUGUUUGCAUGUGUGUGUAUAUGUAUACACUCAUAUAUUCGUAAAUAAAGAUUUGUACGUCUUCACAUAUACACUUGUAAGUAUGUAUGCACAUACAUACAUGUAAUUAAAGUAUUCGCACAUGUUUCAAUUAUUUCACUUGGUACAGAUUUGGAUUGCAGCGCACUGCUUUUGAGUUGGCUACCACACAAAAAAAUAAACAGGGAUCAACAAAGUGGCAGCAGCGAAUACAGCGAUAUACAACAGAGCCUGACCGUGCCAUAUAACUAACUGACAGAUCCGCAUCCACAUUCACAUUUACAGACAUAAACAAGAAGCUGUUGCGCUGAGGAUGAGUGUGCGCUACGUUCACGUUCGGUCAGGGCACCAGGUCCCAUUUCAGAGUGUGGGUGGGCAGCGUAAGUGUUCGUUCUACUACACACUUCGUAGUUCUCAUGCGCGUUUAUUACAAUUGGAAUAUAGCACGAUUAAUCUAGCAUUGUGUUAUUUUUCAAAGUUUUUGUGCGCUUUUAACUUAUAAAUAUGAUUGGCCGAAUAAAAACACAAAGCAGCUUCGUGUGAUGAUCGCAGAAAGGACCCUGGUUCCGGCCCUGCAUCUUAUACCCUGUACCUAUAACAAUGCGUAACGUUGAUAUAAUAAUACUGUAGCAAACAUAUGCGACAGACAGAGUCUGAGUUUACUUAUAAUUUCUAAUUUCAACAGACACGCAUAAAGUCGCACAAUUUAUAAGUUAAUUCAAUCCUAUACUUCAGUAUAGGGAAUCUUCAAGUCGACCUCGCUCUACUUAAGCGUUUUACUCGUUCUGAUUGUUGUUGCUUGCCACAAAAUACGUCUUACUUUUUUUUGUCGAAGUUUAUAUUCUCUAACAAAUCUUACUUAAGUUCAAAAAUAUAAAUUUGUUUUAUUCAAAUAAAUUUUUUUCAGAUGUCUUACCUGUUAUAUCGCAUAAAUAGCUAUAUUGAAUAAAUGUUUCGAAUCAAUUUUACAAUUCAA
Molecule: non-coding RNA, 1302 nt
Organism: Drosophila virilis
Lineage: Eukaryota; Metazoa; Arthropoda; Insecta; Diptera; Drosophilidae
Source: RefSeq, a predicted model, not a curated record